RNAcentral lists this transfer RNA (73 nucleotides) under Candidatus Woesebacteria bacterium. RNAcentral's name for it is "tRNA-Cys". It matches the Rfam family "tRNA". Rfam says of the family: Transfer RNA (tRNA) molecules are approximately 80 nucleotides in length. Their secondary structure includes four short double-helical elements and three loops (D, anti-codon, and T loops). Lineage: Bacteria; Candidatus Woeseibacteriota. The record is from RNAcentral.
GGCGCGUUGGUGAAGAGGAAACACGGGAGUCUGCAAAACUCCUACUGCACCGGUUCGAUUCCGGUACGCGCCU